This 253-nucleotide ribosomal RNA is filed under the name uncultured bacterium. RNAcentral describes it as "partial 16S ribosomal RNA". It matches the Rfam family "Bacterial small subunit ribosomal RNA", at positions 524 to 776 of the family's 1533-position model. The record is from RNAcentral.
UACGAAGGGGGCUAGCGUUGUUCGGAAUCACUGGGCGUAAAGCGCACGUAGGCGGAUUUUUAAGUCAGGGGUGAAAUCCCGGGGCUCAACCUCGGAACUGCCUUUGAUACUGGAGAUCUUGAGUCCGGAAGAGGUAAGUGGAACUGCGAGUGUAGAGGUGAAAUUCGUAGAUAUUCGCAAGAACACCAGUGGCGAAGGCGGCUCACUGGCCCGAUACUGACGCUGAGGCACGAAAGCGUGGGGAGCAAACAGG